UCGGAAUUACUGGGCGUAAAGGGCGCGUAGGCGGCCUUCUAAGUCGAACGUGAAAUCCCUGGGCUCAACCCAGGAACUGCGUCCGAUACUGGGAGGCUUGAAUCCGGGAGAGGGAUGCGGAAUUCCAGGCGUAGCGGUGAAAUGCGUAGAUAUCUGGAGGAACACCGGUGGCGAAGGCGGCAUCCUGGACCGGCAUUGACGCUGAGGCGCGAAAGCCAGGGGAGCAAACGGG
This 232-nucleotide ribosomal RNA is filed under the name uncultured bacterium. RNAcentral describes it as "partial 16S ribosomal RNA". It matches the Rfam family "Bacterial small subunit ribosomal RNA", at positions 545 to 776 of the family's 1533-position model. The record is from RNAcentral.